GCCUGGCUAGCUCAAUCGGUAGAGCGUGAGACUCUUAUGAUCUCAAGGCUGUGGGUUCAAGCCCCACGUCGGGCU
Non-coding RNA from Yarrowia lipolytica CLIB122, 75 nucleotides. The record is from the annotation of a RefSeq genome assembly. NCBI's taxonomy places the organism in Eukaryota, Fungi, Ascomycota, Dipodascomycetes, Dipodascales.